Molecule: long non-coding RNA, 780 nt
Organism: Bactrocera latifrons
Lineage: Eukaryota; Metazoa; Arthropoda; Insecta; Diptera; Tephritidae
Exons: 4
Source: RefSeq, a predicted model, not a curated record
GUAAUAUUAUAUAAGAUAUAGACGUUCUUCCAAGUAGGCUCCUGAGCCGGCAUGCUAACGCCAUGCUUUUGGUAUAAGCUGAGAUGAUCUUCAGUGUUUUCAGCGAAUUUCGGAUUUUUCGAUUUCGGCUCAUUUUUAGUUCGCCCUUUUCUAGAUUGAUGGAUAGUUUCGAUGUCAUAAUCAUGAGUUUAAUGCGAUGUGGCUUUGUCAAUUACUUUGCCAAGAAUGGCUUUUGCUAUCUCAACUCGGCGCCGUUUUUGCAAAACUAUACCAUCUAACAUUUUCAAUUAAGUGCCGAUGCCCAACUAGUUCAUAUCCUCGUAAGAAUAAAUGCUCCUCUACGAUCAUACUCGUAAUGCGAUCUGUACUGUCAACAAUUGACCAUCUUAAGAAAGUAAUUGCCCCGAAACCGCCAGCUGUACCCAAUAGGAGCGAAAUUGUGUUUCACUAGGACAACGYCAGGCCACACAUAUACAUAAUGACUCAGUAGAAGCUACGAGAGCCUGGUUGGGAAGUUCUUAUGCAACUACUUUAUACUCCAGAUCUGGCACCAAACAUUGAGCCCUUUUACUAACGGCUUAAAGAAUCUCUGUGUAAACUUUGAGCUAAAUCGGAGAGGCUACCUAAUCGGAAGUAUGUAUUGCCCCAAGAAGUAACCGAAUGUAUAGUAUUAGUGUCACGUUAAUGAUUUCAAUUUUAAUCCAAAAAAAGAAUCUGUUAAUCGAAUGAAAAUAAGAACUUUUUAACUUGGAAACAACUAAUUUGAAAUGUUAGCUAAGU